CCUACGGGUGGCAGCAGUGAGGAAUAUUGGUCAAUGGACGUAAGCCUGAACCAGCCAAGUCGCGUGAGGGAUGAAGGCUCUAUGGAUCGUAAACCUCUUUUAUAAGGGAAUAAAGGGCGGGACGUGUCCCGGUUUGUAUGUACCUUAUGAAUAAGGAUCGGCUAACUCCGUGCCAGCAGCCGCGGUAAUACGGAGGAUCCAAGCGUUAUCCGGAUUUAUUGGGUUUAAAGGGUGCGUAGGCGGCCGUAUAAGUCAGAGGUGAAAUUCUGUGGCUCAACCAUAGAAUUGCCGUUGAAACUGGGCGGCUUGAGUAUGUUUGAGGAAGGCGGAAUGUGUGGUGUAGCGGUGAAAUGCUUAGAUAUCACGCAGAACCCCGAUUGCGAAGGCAGCCUGCCAAGCCAUGACUGACGCUGAUGCACGAAAGCGUGGGGAUCAAACAGGAUUAGAUACCCCGGUAGUC
Molecule: ribosomal RNA, 460 nt
Filed under: uncultured bacterium
Lineage: Bacteria
Description: partial 16S ribosomal RNA
Rfam family: Bacterial small subunit ribosomal RNA
Source: RNAcentral